CAGUCGCCACGGUAACACAGAGGGUGCGAGCGUUAAUCGGAUUUACUGGGCGUAAAGCGUGCGUAGGCGGCUUCUUAAGUCGGAUGUGAAAUCCCUGAGCUUAACUUAGGAAUUGCAUUCGAUACUGGGAAGCUAGAGUAUGGGAGAGGAUGGUAGAAUUCCAGGUGUAGCGGUGAAAUGCGUAGAGAUCUGGAGGAAUACCGAUGGCGAAGGCAGCCAUCUGGCCUAAUACUGACGCUGAGGUACGAAAGCAUGGGGAGCAAACAGGAUUAGAUACCCCUGUAGUCCCUGUCUCUUAUAC
This 301-nucleotide ribosomal RNA is filed under the name uncultured bacterium. RNAcentral describes it as "partial 16S ribosomal RNA". It matches the Rfam family "Bacterial small subunit ribosomal RNA", at positions 509 to 807 of the family's 1533-position model. The record is from RNAcentral.